RNAcentral lists this non-coding RNA (180 nucleotides) under Vibrio sp. Its description in RNAcentral is "Lysine sequence". It matches the Rfam family "Lysine riboswitch aptamer". Rfam says of the family: Riboswitches are metabolite binding domains within certain messenger RNAs that serve as precision sensors for their corresponding targets. Allosteric rearrangement of mRNA structure is mediated by ligand binding, and this results in modulation of gene expression. This family includes riboswitches that sense lysine in a number of genes involved in lysine metabolism, including lysC. Lineage: Bacteria; Pseudomonadati; Pseudomonadota; Gammaproteobacteria; Vibrionales; Vibrionaceae. The record is from RNAcentral.
AAUCACAGAAGAGGAGCACUGCCUAGGUAGAUGCAUCGUGGAGCCACAACUCCGAUACGGUGUGUUGAAGGGAGAGCAGUGCCGAGAUUGCGCUAAAUUGUCGGAUUAGAGCAGUCGGUUGACUUGAGUUGAUUCUCAUCAAUUGUCAUCAGCACCGCCUGAUGAAGCGCUUCUGAGGUG